This 403-nucleotide ribosomal RNA is filed under the name uncultured bacterium. RNAcentral's name for it is "bacterial SSU rRNA". It matches the Rfam family "Bacterial small subunit ribosomal RNA", at positions 355 to 775 of the family's 1533-position model. The record is from RNAcentral.
UGAGGAAUUUUCCACAAUGGGCGAAAGCCUGAUGGAGCAAUACCGCGUGAAGGAUGACGGUCCUCGGAUUGUAAACUUCUUUUAUAUGUGAAGAUUAUGACGGUAUCAUAUGAAUAAGCAUCGGCUAACUACGUGCCAGCAGCCGCGGUAAUACGUAGGAUGCAAGCGUUAUCCGGAAUUAUUGGGCAUAAAGAGUUUGUAGGUGGCAUGUUAAGUUGAAUGUUAAAUCUCAGGGCUCAACUCUGGGGCUGCAUUCAAUACUGGCAAGCUCGAGGUAUGGAGAGGUAAGCGGAAUUAGUAGUGUAGCGGUGAAAUGCGUAGAUAUUACUAAGAACACCAAUGGCGAAGGCAGCUUACUGGCCAUAUCCUGACACUGAGAAACGAAAGCGUGGGGAGCGAACAG